GAUGAACGCUGGCGGCGUGCCUAAUACAUGCAAGUCGAGCGAACAGACGAGAGUGCUUGCACUCUCUGACGUUAGCGGCGGACGGGUGAGUAACACGUGGGUAACCUACCUAUAAGACUAGGAUAACUUCGGGAAACCGGAGCUAAUACCGGAUAAUAUUUAGCUUCGCAUGAAGCAAUAGUGAAAGACGGUUCUGCUGUCACUUAUAGAUGGACCCGCGGUGUAUUAGCUAGUUGGUGAGGUAACGGCUCACCAAGGCAACGAUACAUAGCCGACGUGAGAGGGUGAUCGGCCACACUGGGACUGAGACACGGCCAAGAGUCCUACGGGAGGCAGCAGUAGGGAAUCUUCCGCAGUGGACGGAAGUAUGACGGAGCAAUGCCGCGUGAGUGAAGAAGGUGUUCGGAUCGUAAAACUCUGUUGUAAGGGAAGAACAAGUACGGUAGUAACUGAACGUACCUUGACGGUACCUUACCAGAAAGCCACGGCUAACUACGUG
Molecule: ribosomal RNA, 499 nt
Filed under: uncultured bacterium
Lineage: Bacteria
Description: partial 16S ribosomal RNA
Rfam family: Bacterial small subunit ribosomal RNA
Source: RNAcentral